UUCUGGAAAGAAUCGAAUUCGUCAACAAUCUUUCUCGAAAAGAAAAUAUUUUUUCUGUUUUGGAAUUAAUUAGUCAUUUGGUUACUCAUCAAAAUUGUUUAUUGAUCGAUCGAUAACAAGUCAGCGAUUACUUAUCGAUCCAUUAAUCAUUGGUCAAUCGAGUGUCCUUGCUUUGUCAAUUCAGUAGUCAAUAAUCGAAUCGAUGGUCAGUUUAAUGGUCAGACUUUGUUAUUAAUCAUUGGUAACCACGACGUCAUUAAUUUCUCCGCGAGACGCUUUCCAUCGCGAUGCUCACCUGUAUAAGUCUGCGUGCUUCUCCUCGCCUGUCUGGCUCUGCUCGUGAUCGCCUACCAACGGCAAGAAAGCGUGAUGCAGCUCUCCCGAUUGCACGCGUUUACCGCGCAGCCUCAACGCGCUCCACACGGCGAUUCUGCGAAAGGGGUUGUUCUUCUCGCAGGCGUCGUUGAUGCGAAAAGUGAGCCCUCGUCUCGACACCUCGAGCUCCGCUCUCACGGAUUCGUCGAUCCUUUCCAGAAGCUGACGCAGAGGCUCUUGGAGACCUCGAACGCUGGCCACACGACCACCUACUGGAGCUGCUCCCAUGUAUUUCACCUGAGCGAACGACCGCAGCAAUACAAACGUAUCACUUUCCUUGGUUAGGAAAAUAGAAUUUGGAUAUAAACGCUUACUUUUAUAAUUAUUUACAAAGAUUUUGUAUUUUGUAUGAAAAUAUUACAAAUUUAUCGAUAUAUAUAUUUCUCUUAGUAUUAUAUGUUGGAAUUAAAAUGAAGAAAAGCGAAUUAAAAAUAUUAAAGUAAA
Apis cerana (Asiatic honeybee) is the source of this 819-nucleotide long non-coding RNA. RefSeq lists it as uncharacterized. Lineage: Eukaryota; Metazoa; Arthropoda; Insecta; Hymenoptera; Apidae. The record is from RefSeq and is a predicted model, not a curated record.